UCGAGUAGGCCCCAAGCAAGGAAGGAGGAAGCAGGCAGCAGACCCUCUGCCCAGACCAGACCAUCCAGAACAGCUAUUGCUAGGAUGAAGAAGGGUUGUGACCAAUGAGUUCCCAACCUGCUGCUAAAACCCACAUGAUGCAGUGUGUAGCUAAUCAGAAUCUUCCCAAGCCUGACUAUGCUCACACCCACUUGAGCUUGUUGCUCACCUGCCUGUUUCUCUGCCUAUGCACUUGGGCCGUUAUUGGGUUGGGCAUGGGAAGAGGAUGAGCAGUGAAGGGAGCAUUGUACACAGCCAGAGAGCUCAACACAGACGAGCGGGCAGCAACAGUCAGAUCAGUUUGGUGUCCCCUGCCUCUGUGCCUUCAUGUUUCUCUCUGUCUGUAAAAGUAAGAAAAUAUGUUUGUGUGUCCCUACUUCUUGUGCCUGUUGAGUUUGUGAGAGUAUUUUUGUGUAUAUUUGUGUAUGAAGUGGGGGAAAUGUAAAUGUAGUAAAAUUGGUGAAUGUUUUCCAGAGUGCCUUAUAUGUAUAUGCAUAAUUCAGUCACCAAAUGCUGCUUUAUACUGUAUGUCUUGACUUUGGCUUGGUUGACUUAUUUGAAUUAUCCACCCUGCAUUUGUCUUAAAUUCUCUGCCAUGGAUUCCCUGAUUGUUCAUGGGAUUAGUCUCAGUCUGACAGUUCCCCAUCUGGAAAAUGUUUUUCUUUUUCUAGAAUGCCUUCCAGUUGCUUAAAUAAAAUUAAAUUGAAUGCU
Hemicordylus capensis (graceful crag lizard) is the source of this 750-nucleotide long non-coding RNA. RefSeq lists it as uncharacterized. The transcript has 2 exons. NCBI's taxonomy places the organism in Eukaryota, Metazoa, Chordata, Lepidosauria, Squamata, Cordylidae. The record is from RefSeq and is a predicted model, not a curated record.